CGGGACGGGUGAGUAACGCGUGGAUAACCUGCCUCACACUGGGGGAUAACAGUUAGAAAUGACCGCCAAUACCGCAUAAGCGCACAGUACCGCAUGGUACAGUGUGAAAAACUCCGGUGGUGUGAGAUGGAUCCGCGUCUGAUUAGCCAGUUGGCGGGGUAACGGCCCACCAAAGCGACGAUCAGUAGCCGACCUGAGAGGGUGACCGGCCACAUUGGGACUGAGACACGGCCCAA
This 236-nucleotide ribosomal RNA is filed under the name uncultured bacterium. RNAcentral describes it as "partial 16S ribosomal RNA". It matches the Rfam family "Bacterial small subunit ribosomal RNA", at positions 100 to 334 of the family's 1533-position model. The record is from RNAcentral.